RNAcentral lists this long non-coding RNA (7782 nucleotides) under Sus scrofa (pig). RNAcentral describes it as "lncRNA (ENSSSCG00005026827.1)". Lineage: Eukaryota; Metazoa; Chordata; Mammalia; Artiodactyla; Suidae. The record is from RNAcentral.
UUUUUUUUUUUUUUUUUGUCUUUUUAGGGCUGCACCCAGGGCAUAUGGAUGUUCCCAGGCUAGGGGUCGAAUUAGAGCUACAGCUGCCGGCCUACACCACAGCUCAUGGCAACGCCAGAUCCUUAACCCACUGAGUCAGGCCAGGGAUGGAACACGCCGUCUCAUGGUUCCUAGUCGGAUUCGUUUCCACUGUGUCAAGACGGGAAGUCCUCUAAUGCAUUUUCCAUUCCACCAUAGCUCUUAUACUACAUAAGAAAUUCUGAUAUUCUAAGGGCAUAGCACCUCCGUGCAGCAUGUGGCACACUCAACCAAAACGAGGAUGGGCUGCUGCUGAGUGCCUAGGCCGCAUGGCCUGUCCUGAGGUCUGCUUCUUUUAGAAAACAAGAAUCUUCCAAAUUUCCAAAAAAAAAAGAACAAAACUUCCCAUCAUGGCUCAGCGGUUAACGAGCCCAACCAGCCUCCAUGAGGAGGUGGGUUCAAUCCCUAGCCUUGCUCAGUGGGUUAAGGAUAAGCUGCCGUGAGCUGGGGUUGCAGAUGCAGCUUGGAUCCCUGCGUUGCUCUGUUUGCGGUGUAGGCCAGCAGCUGCAACUCUGAUUGGACCCCUAGCCUGGGAACCUCCAUAUGCUAUAGAUGUGGCCCUAAAAAAGGCAAAAAGGCAAAAAGGCAAAAAAAAAAAAAAAAAUCUUCCAAAUGUCCACCACUGAAGGCUCGAUCUGCUGAACUGCUUUAAAUCUGCCUCAGCAGAGGCUGGGGCCUCUGGAAGUACAAAAGAGUCAUAACCACUUCUUUUGCCUAAAUGUUAAGAUUUAAAAAAGAAAAAGAAAGAAAGAAAGAAGGAAGGGAGGGAGGGAGGGAGGAAGGAAGGAAGGAAGGAAAGAAAGAAAGAAAGAAAGAAAGAAAGAAAGAAAGAAAGAAAGAAAGAAAGAAAGAAAGAAAGAAAGAGAAAAGAAAAGAACAAACAGGUUUAUGUGAAAACAAGGAAAAUACCAAAGUGAGUGGUAGGGAGCUCUUGACUGGAGUGUAGAGAGAAGUAAUCUCUGUUGCCAGGUUUCCUAGGGAGUAAUGCAUUUGAAAACUGGAAGAUCAGCCUUGAUAACUGCUUUCUAAAGGCUUUUAGUGGCAUCUCUGUGACAGCAAGGGGCCUAGGUGACCUGUUUCAGGACUUUGGGGUUCCCAAAGGAGGCCCUCAGCCGAGAAUGAGAACAAAAAGCUCCAGGAAGGCAGGGGUCUUGUUUUCUAGUCAGUAUUGCCACCUCUCGAGGACCCAGCUUUGGGUACAGAAUCCUUGGAACCCCAUCUCUAACUCAUGCAUGUAGAACCAGGUGAAACUGUCUACAUUUUCUGGUGGUUCUCCUUGGAGCCAAAAAAGGAUCAGUACUAUUUUCCUCAGAGAUACCAUUCCUGGAUUCAAGAAGCCUGAGAACCACUGCAGAUUCCUGGGCAGUGAGGGGUCUUGUUUCUUGCCCAGCAGUCAUGUCAAUCAAGGCUUGGGAGAAUGAGCUAGUAUUUACUGAGCACCUCCAUGGCCCAGCCCCUGUGCCAGACGUUACCAUACACUUUAUCUCAUUUAAUUCACUGCUGCUACUCUAGGAGGCAGGUAUUAUACCCACUUUAUAGAUAAGAAAACGAAGGCUCAGAGAGGUUCAGUAGUUCUUCCAAGGGCACACAGCCAAUAAGUGGCGGGGUCUGGAUUCAAACCUAGGUCUGACUCCAACCUUUGCCUCUUCCUUUCCUUUUCUCAACCUCCCCUCACCUGACAUCCAUUUUAAAAAAUGUGUAUUGAGCACCUACUAUGUCCCCACGUUCUGGUACCUGCAGCAGCAAACAAGACAGGCAAGGUUCCUGCCUUCACGGCACGUAUACCCUAGAGUGGGGGAGAUGGACAAUAAGAAGGAAACAAAUAAGCAGGGUAAUUUUGAUACUGAUAAGCACUACGAAGAAAAAUCAAGCCAGGUAAAUGGGGAGAGGAUGACUGAGCAGGUGGAGGUGGCUGAGGAAGGCCUCCAAGAGGAUUUAAUUGAGCUGAGAUCUUAAUUAGGAUCUUUUUUAAAAAGCUCCUUCUGUGUUUCCCACAUGUAGCCUGAGAGAUGCAUUUGACUUUUGUCUUUAUUCCUCCCAGGCCCCCAUCAGCAGAGAUUGCAAAGUACAUAUUUUCUUUUCUUUUUUUUUUUUGGCUAGAAAGGCUUGCAAAACCCACUGAUAAGGUUACCCGUUCACACCAGGAGAGAGGAUUUCAAAGCAGUGAACAGACCUGCUCAGCCUUACAAACACCAUAUAAAACGACUUGGGUCCUGGAGCUCAUUCAUCCUACGGAUCCAAGGAGCUGCCACCCCAUAAACACUCCUCGGGUUUGCAUUAAUCAGGCAGCUCAACGUAGGUUUUCUUUUCAUUUUUCUAGGUCUGUGAUGAUGGAUGAUGUGCAGUGGCACUUCUGGAUUAAUAAUAAGGAGCUGGUGGUGUUUUCUCACUCCUACGAGACUAAAUUUCAUGGGACAUUUAGGACAUCUUCCUCGACAGGGCUGAGCCGAAGCUCUGUGUUCUUGAAAGGAUUAUUGCAGCCCUAUUACAAAGAUAACCUAACCACACGGGAGAGAGUAAAACAUCAAGCCAUUUGAUUUCAAAACCCUGAAACAGAAUACCAAAGAAUAAUUAACUAUGGAAACCCAAAAGCUCUAAUCUUGAUGAACUGAUGGGACAGACUAGGAGAGAGAGAAAACACAGAUCUUCGAGGCUCACAGGCUUCUGAAUUGUUUGAAUGAUCAGAAUCAAAGCUCACGCAGGCCUUCAGUGGGCUUGAUACUGAGCCUUCUCCUCCCACCUCGCUCACAUCCACACACCCCACUCCCAAGUCACUGAAUGCACCUGUCCCAGCUCUGCUGCUCUGGCUUCUAAUAAGAACAGAAUUGUCUCCUCCUCAGCUGGCUGCCUGGUCCAGAUCUGGGCUUCCUGCUGGGGCCUGUAAACUUGCCGCAGGAUGGAGCCAGCUCCUGCCGAGCCGGCAAAACAGACCCUUUCACGGAAGGGAGACAGAUGGACUGACGGCCGGUGACAGGUGAUUCGAUAAAACCUUCACAAAAUUCCUCUUCCCUGUAUUUGCUUUUGAGGUGCAACUAUAGGUGAUGGUGGUUCACGGGGGCUCUUUCAUAAAUCUCAAAGACAGACCGUUUCAGACACUGCCUGCAAAAGAAAGGCCUUGGUGAGAUUUCUGUCACCGACAGCCGUAUAUUCUGUUUAAAGGAGAAAACCACCGUAUUUUCCCAAUUUUGAACACAGUGGCUGAAAAAAAAUUGCAUGAAAGGAUCUCAGUUUAGCUGGCAGGGGUGGGGGUGGGAUGAGGGUGGGGGCCAGGGUGAGGGUCUUCUCCUGCUGCUGUUAAUAAAAUCACACCCCAUCUUGGGGGCCUUUUCUAAGGAGGGCAGCUUCUACUCAACCUGCUGACCCAAGAAGCUGCUCUUUUUGUCUUUCUUUUUCUGGACAAGAAGAGGAAGAAAUUCUUCUUUCACCAUGGACCUGGUGUUCCAUUCAUGGACCUGAGAAAAAUGUGAUAACCGUUCAGUCCCAGAUCUGACUCCAGGCCUGGCUGGUACCACUUAAAAUGAAUCAAAGAGAUGAGCCUCAUUAGCUGGAAUUCAACGGCCCCCCUCUUGGAUGGGAAGUCGCUGAGUGAGAGAGUUACAUUCAAGGGUGAUGAAAGGGGGUCAAGGAUGGAAAUGAUGCAAAAGGGAAAAUGUAUAUGCACAGAGUUUCCUGCGUGAUUAGCUACGGCUAUUUAAACCAUUACAAGUUUAAACCCUCUUGAGGUCAGGGAAAGAACCAGUGGAAAAAUCAGAGGCAGAUUCCUUCUUUUCCUAGGAUAAACCCAGCACAAUUUUAAAAUGCAAAGCAUCUCUAAACAGCUAUUUGAUUAGGGUUUUUUUUUCCAACUAGGCUAUGAUAAUUAGCAAAUGCCUGGGAGAUGAGAUUUAAAUAUGCCAAUCAGUCCAUCUCAAGAGUUUAGCAGGAACAAUGUGGAAUGUAAUUAUCUUUAAGUGAUAACCACUUUGGUGGGGUUACAGCCUUAACUAGCGACCUGAAAUCCAAUAGAUGACCUCUCCCCGUGCCUGGAGCAGCAGCUUUCCCACUUUGGGGAAAAAAAAAAAAAAGCAAUGCCAAGUGUUAUCUGGAAAGUCCACGGGUGUGACCUUUAAAGAGAAGGAUUUUGAGUACUUCUGGUGAAAACUCUGCCACCAUUUCUUCCACUAAUGGGGCACUUUCAAAAGCAGCAGGGUGAUGGAGACGGCCUGACUUCAGAGAGGUGCAAACAGACUACCUGAAAUACCUAAUUCCUCCCUUUCUCCAUCAGUGACCAUUUCUUAGUUUGGAAAGCAUCAAAAACCUAAAGAUCCACAACUUCUGGCUUCUCCCGCAGUCCGGAGGGAUGUGCAAAAUAGGUCCCACAGUAGAGACUGGUCUAUAAUGGGACAGAAAGCUACCUGAGAGAGGAGAGGGGGAUGCAGUUAACUGUUUGGGAGUGUUUUCCCAUCUUGCUGCAGGGGCACAUGUUUUUCUGUCUUGCUACAUUGCGAACUACUCUGGUUAAAACCAAGUCUUUUCAAAGACCCAAGCUCUCGUCACACAGGGUCCCUUCUUCACCCCACAAGCUGGGCUUGACAAUCUCUAAAAACAGUUUUUUUUAGAAUAUUGUGAUGGCAAAAUGGCUAAGCUCGAGGAAGGUUUCACUUUUUAGCCCAUAACUACAGAAACAUGCCUGUCUUGGGCACAAAAGGACAUUACCAGGCAGCAGGACAAAAGUGAAUAACACUGAUAAUCCUCCCCUUGUGAUAGGUUUUAUAAUUAAAGAUUACUGCAAGGACAACAGAUCCCAACGCAAAUGGGAAUACUGGAAACUCGACCGCCUCUCUGCUUCUGCGUCACCAAGUCCCCUCCUGUCUACACAGGGGCCUGCACUUCCACGGACUAGAGAAGGCUGUAAUUAACCACCUGCCAGUGUCGCUGGCUAUAACUCCAACCAGGCCAGCACUUUCUUGACUAGGUUCUCGCAAGUGAUAAUUAAAUCCAUCGGCCUCGCUUGUGCGGUCUGCUUGUAACAGAGCCAUUCAGACAUACGCUGGCGUGUCUAACAGUGACGGAUUCUCCAAGCGCCCUGGCUGGUGCCUAGGUUGCCAGCACUCUAAUCACAAGAUAAGCAUCUCCUUACGUGAGUGCCUUGAGUCACAGCCUCUGCCCCGUGAGCCUUUGCUGCUUCUUUUAAUUGAACAACGUUUUGCAAUUUCAGCUCCAUCUAUCAGGCACUUUCGCAGUCUGCUAAUAGAGUUUCAGAAUCCUAUUCCCCAGUCUAUAGCCAGGCCGAGAAAUCUUCCGUCAUUCCUCCAAGUCCAAGAACACUUCAGAUGUCCUCUGAACGUAACGUCAACGUGGUCCACCAUCAGCUGCCGAUCUGAGAACGUGCCAGCAAGGGCUUUAAUUCAUAAUUAGAUAUUGGCCAGACAAAUUACCCGCAACAGUACCUUUGCCUACCACCAUCAGGCAGGAGAAUGAUGUUCAGUGUGGGGAUACAUGGAAAGGGAGAGCUCUCCUGGGAGGAAAUGUUUUGCAAAGUCUAUUUCCUUGACAACUUUUCCAAGUGAAAGGUACUACUGUAGGUUUUUUUCCCCCCAUGGUUUUGAACAAUUCUGGUGUCUAAAAAUCAACAUUGUCAAACGCCCUAAUGUGAAAAAUAGAGAUUUAAAUAGAAGCAGAAAAAAAAAAUUAGGCUUCCAGAGCUGAACAUUUUAAAAGCUAGGGAUUCACACACUGCCUUUUUUUUGGUGGGGGGGAUGAUAAUGAGCAGAUGAUGGGCAGCAUUUAGUGGUCGCCACUAGGAAUUAGUUACACAGGUGACCAUGGAGAAGACAGUGGAGGACAGAUGGGCUGCCAUGCUGGACCCCUCUAUUUGGAAUUGGAGGACUAACCUAGUCUCUAUGGGGAGUGCAGUCUAGACCCCAAUCAUCUGCUUCCAGGGGUUUAAAGAAACUCCAAGAACAACCCAAUCAGCCUCAGGACUAAGUUAUGUUCCUUUAAAAUCACACAAUCCCUGAUUUUCUGAGGCAGGCCCAAUUUCAAAUAUUCUACUCCAUUAUCAGACAACGUGUCAGACACCACGUUCUAAGUUUUUAUGUGGAAAAUGGUCUUAUGGAGUUGGUGGGCCUCCCAUGUGUGGGCAGAACUGCACUCCUUGGGUCAGGAGAGAAGGGUGGUAUAAGAAUGGUACCAUUCUCUGCUCAAGCUGACCCUCUCCCCUGUCAAUGGGAUUUUCAGCUCCAACUCAAUACAGCUCAUAGCAAAUCAGGACACUUUUGAACAUACCCAUCUACCCAUUCGAUCCUUCCAGACAUCUACCCAAUAUUAAACACUGCCCAUUUGCCAAGAACCAUGCUAGAUAUCAGGGCUACAGAGGGACAGGAUACGCCUACUGGGAAAUCAUAUUUUUUUAAUAUAAUGAUUUUUAUUUUUUCCCAUUAUAGCUGGUUUACAGUGUUCUGUCAAUUUUCUACUGGACAGCAUGGUGACCCAGUUACAUAUCCAUGUAUACAUUCUUUUUCCUCACAUUAUUAUGCUCCAUUAUAAGUGACCAGAGAUAGUUCCCAGUGCUACAGAGCAGGAUCUCAUUGCUAAUCCAUUCCAAAAGCAAUAGUCUGCAUCUAUUAACUUCAAGCACCCCAUCUAUCCCACUCCCUCCCACUUGCCCUUAGCAACCACAAGUCUAUUCUGCAAGUCCAUGAUUUUCUUUCCUGUGGAAAGCUUCAUUUGUGCCAUAUAUUAGAUUCCAGACAUAAGUGAUAUCAUAUGGUAUUUGUCUUUCUCUUUCUGACUUACUUCACUCAGUAUGAGAGUCUCUAGUUCCAUCCAUGUUGCUGCAAAUGGCAUUAUUUUGUUCUUUUUUAUGGCUGAGUAGUAUUCCAUUGUGUAUAUAUACCACAUCUCCCUAAUCCAAUCAUCUGAUGAUGGACAUUUGGGUUGUUUCCAUGUCUUGGCUAUUGUGAAUAGUGCUGCAAUGAACAUGCGGGUGCAUGUGUCUUUUUUAAGGAAAGUUUUGUCCGGAUAUAUGCCCAAGAGUGGGUCAUAUGGUAGUUCUACGUAUAGUUUUCUAAGGUACCUCCAAACAGUUCUCCAUAGUGGUUGUACCAGCUUACAUUCCCACCAAUAGUACAGGUGGGUUCCCUUUUCUCCCAGUAUUUGUUAUUUGUGGACUUAUUAAUGAUGGCCAUUCUGACUGGUGUGAGGUGGUAUCUCAUGGCAGUUUUGAUUUGCAUUUUUCUAAUAAUCAGUGAUGUUGAGCAUUUUUUCAUGUGCUUGUUGGCCAUCUGUAUAUCUUCCUUGGAGAAACGUCUAUUCAGGUCUUUUGCCAUUUUUCAAUUCGGUUGUUGGCUUUUUUGCUGUUGAAUUUUGGAAAUGGUAAUUUUUUUAAAGCAAGGUUCUUAAUUUGGGGUUUAUGGAUGGAAUGGGAGUCCAUGAACCCCUUGAAACUGAACAUAAAACUUCAUGUUUAUGGAGUUCUCGUCAUGGCUCAGUGGUUAGCGAAUCCAAGUAGGAACCAUGAGGUUUCGGGUUCUGGCCUUGCUCGGUGGGUUAAGGAUCCGGCAUUGCCGUGAGCUGUGGUGUAGGUCACAGACACAUCUCGGAUCUCGAGUUGCUGUGGCUCUGGUGUAGGCUGGUUGCUACAGCUCCGGUGCGACUCCUAGCCUGGGAACCUCCAUAUGCUGCAGGUGCAGCCCUAGAAAAGAUUAAAAAAAAAAAAAAAAA